This 103-nucleotide ribosomal RNA is filed under the name Polyozosia dispersa. Its description in RNAcentral is "Myriolecis dispersa partial 28S ribosomal RNA". The record is from RNAcentral. Lineage: Eukaryota; Fungi; Ascomycota; Lecanoromycetes; Lecanorales; Lecanoraceae.
UCUCCCGCUUUGGAAGUUCGCGCCGGGACCGGCCAACAAACCUUUUGUUAUCAAUGAUUGACCUCGGAUCAGGUAGGGAUACCCGCUGAACUUAAGCAUAUCA